CAACCCUUGACAUCCUGUGCUAUAUCCAGAGAUGGAUAGUUCCCUUCGGGGACGCAGUGACAGGUGCUGCAUGGCUGUCGUCAGCUCGUGUCGUGAGAUGUUCGGUUAAGUCCGGCAACGAGCGCAACCCACAUCCCUAGUUGCCAGCAGUUCGGCUGGGCACUCUAUGGAAACUGCCCGUGAUAAGCGGGAGGAAGGUGUGGAUGACGUCAAGUCCUCAUGGCCCUUACGGGUUGGGCUACACACGUGCUACAAUGGUAGUGACAAUGGGUUAAUCCCAAAAAGCUAUCUCAGUUCGGAUUGUCGUCUGCAACUCGACGGCAUGAAGUCGGAAUCGCUAGUAAUCGCGUAACAGCAUGACGCGGUGAAUACGUUCCCGGGCCUUGUACACACCGCCCGUCACACCAUGGGAGUGCAUUGCACCAGAAGUAGAUAGCUUAACCUUCGGGGGAGCGUUUACCACGGUGUGGUCCAUGACUGGGGUGAAGUCGUAACAGGUAACCUAC
This 506-nucleotide ribosomal RNA is filed under the name uncultured bacterium. Its description in RNAcentral is "bacterial SSU rRNA". It matches the Rfam family "Bacterial small subunit ribosomal RNA", at positions 975 to 1503 of the family's 1533-position model. The record is from RNAcentral.